This 1784-nucleotide long non-coding RNA is filed under the name Nicotiana tabacum (common tobacco). RNAcentral's name for it is "long non-coding RNA (NTAB_LNC005138)". Lineage: Eukaryota; Viridiplantae; Streptophyta; Magnoliopsida; Solanales; Solanaceae. The record is from RNAcentral.
ACAAUAUUAAUAUCCCUUUCCCGUGAUGAUUAUCAUAACAGAAUCAAGUAUAGUGGAACUAAGAAGGAACAACGAAACAGUAGUAAAAAUGAAUUAUUACAACACUGUUCAUUCUAAUAAAAUCAAUAUACAACUUCUUUUACAGCUCAAUCUGACUGUACUUAAUUACUCCAAACUCAAAAACUCCUAGGUGCAAUAUCAACAAUUAUCAUGAAAGGUAUUUUGUAUCAGAAAUGAGCAGAUUAUUGCAACUUCAGCAUGUUAUAUGGCAUUUUAGGCAUACAAUGAGGAGGAAAUUUAAGGAAUAACACAGUAUAUUCAACUUAUCACUCAAAACUAGAUUCCAAACAAUAAUCAAAUAAACACAACUUGAGGGGUAUCAAAUAAAUUAGCAAUGAUCAAAUAAACACAACUUACAGCAGAGUAGACAAAAAGAAAACAAAUCUCUGAAGUUGGGAAGGAGCAACAGCAAGAACAAACACAGCAGCAGAAAACAUCACACAAUAGCUUUAAACCUUACUCCCAAAAAAUCCAAAAAUAAAUCAGAACCAAUGGAACAGUGUUGAUAAAUUCUGAUUCCUACUUUUAGAAUGUUUUUUGUGAAAAGAAAUGAGUGAGGGUGAGUGUUGAUUCUCUGAAAAAUGCCAAAAUUCGUGUGUGUGUGUUAUGCAGAGAAUCAACGAAUAUAUAGGAGAAUGUCAACGGUAAAAAUGGAACAAAAAAUAUCUUUUUCAACCAAUUUUUGUAAAGUUAUCCCUUUUCAGUUAUUCUUUUUUCCUUUUUAAACCUUUGUAUUUUCUAUAUUCACUCCUCAGCCCUAACACCUGGCUACUUUGUUUUUUAUUUUUAUUUUUUUGCAAAUUAGCCCCUCCUAGAAGCUUCCUAGAUAACUAAACAAGAUUCCCUAUUUUUGGCAUACCCUUUAGCCCCCUCAAUUUCCUGUAUUUACUAUUUAUUUGAGAUUUAAAAUCUAAAAGCAGACUAACACUUAGAUCUUAGUUACAAUGGAUAGAUGUUAAACAUGACUUAUUAAGAAAUGACUAAUUAAUUAAGACAGAACAUUGACAUUUAAUUAAUUUGUAAGAAAACAAAAUGCGAUUUAAACUAUCAAUUUUGCCUAAACAUCAUGAUUAAGUAUUAAAAUAAAUCACUACUAACCUACCUCUAAACAAAUUUGAGUUUUGACCAAAUGAAAUUCAAAAAACAAAUAUAACUUGCCAAGAUUAACAGUUUAAAUCAAACAACCAAAUAAGUUCAGUCAAAGAAAUUAAUCCUAAGUAUAACCUAAACUAAGUGACAGAAUCAUAAAAAAUAAAAACUUUUAACCUAAUGCAAAUAUCUCAAAGGUGAGGAGCGGAUGAAAAGAGAUUACCUAUUGAAACUCUAUUGACAUGACAGAGAAAACCUCCGAGAAAAAUUGGCUGGCCAACAGCCAGCUGACCAAAACAUGACUUCUGAGAAACGGGAUGAAUCCCACAUCAGUGGAAAACUCGUGUCAAGAUCUUUCUACUGAUGUGAGUCUCAACUGCAAAAGAGGACGGAUUGGUCGAGGUUAUGAAGACAGAUUGCAUGGCGGCUAGGAUUUGGUUUUAAAUUUUGAAAUUUGAGAGAUUCAGUGAGUUUUUAGCAGAAAUUAAAAGCGGGAUAGUCAUGGGGAGAUUGUGGAGAUUGUAUGGUGAGAGUUCGGGUGGAUUUGGGGUUGCGCUGUCGGCAAGGGUGGCUUAUGGUGGUGGUAGGCGUUUAGGGUAUGAAAGUAUUUGAGAGAAGAUGAAAUGAAGGGCUUC